GAUGAACGCUGGCGGCGUGCUUAACACAUGCAAGUCGAACGAUGAAGCCCAGCUUGCUGGGUGGAUUAGUGGCGAACGGGUGAGUAACGCGUGAGCAACCUGCCCCUGACUCUGGGAUAAGCGCUGGAAACGGCGUCUAUUACUCGAUAUGUCCCGUCGCCGCAUGGUGUGCGGGUGGAAAGAUGUUUCGGUUGGGGAUGGGCUCGCGGCCUAGCAGCUUGUUGGUGUGGUAAUGGCUCACCACGGCGUCGACGGGCAGCCGGCCUGAGAGGGUGACCGGCCACACUGGGACUGAGAGACGGCCCAGACUCCAACGGGAGGCAGCAGUGGGGAAUAUUGCACAAUGGGCGGAAGCCUGAUGAAGCAACGCCGCGUGAGGGAUGACGGCCUGCGGGUUGUAAACCUCUUUUAGCAGGGAAGAAGCGAAAGUGACGGUACCUGCAGAAAAAGCACCGGCUAACUACGUG
This 467-nucleotide ribosomal RNA is filed under the name uncultured bacterium. Its description in RNAcentral is "partial 16S ribosomal RNA". It matches the Rfam family "Bacterial small subunit ribosomal RNA", at positions 28 to 507 of the family's 1533-position model. The record is from RNAcentral.